RNAcentral lists this ribosomal RNA (784 nucleotides) under uncultured bacterium. Its description in RNAcentral is "bacterial SSU rRNA". It matches the Rfam family "Bacterial small subunit ribosomal RNA", at positions 8 to 796 of the family's 1533-position model. The record is from RNAcentral.
AGAGUUUGAUCAUGGCUCAGAACGAACGCUGGCGGCGUGCUUAACACAUGCAAGUCGAGUGCGCGCCUGUAGCAAUACAGGUGGCGCACGGCGCACGGGUGCGUAACACGUGGGUAAUCUGCCCUCUGAUGGGGAAUAACUCGCCGAAAGGCGAGCUAAUUCCGCAUAAUAUUCCGAGAACCUCGGUUUUUGGACUGAAAGGCGUAAGUCGUCGGAGGAGGAGCCCGCGCACGAUUAGCUAGUUGGUAGGGUAAUGGCCUACCAAGGCUUUGAUCGUUAGCUGGUCUGAGAGGAUGGCCAGCCACACUGGAACUGAGACACGGUCCAGACUCCUACGGGAGGCAGCAGUGGGGAAUCUUGCACAAUGGGCGAAAGCCUGAUGCAGCGACGCCGCGUGGGGGAUGAAGCUUCUCGGAGUGUAAACCCCUUUCGAUCCGGACGAAUGCCCGCAAGGGAUUGACGGUACGGAUAUAAGAAGCCCCGGCUAACUACGUGCCAGCAGCCGCGGUAAUACGUAGGGGGCCAGCGUUGUUCGGAAUUACUGGGUGUAAAGGGUUCGUAGGCGGUGUGGCAAGUUGGGAGUGAAAUCUCUGGGCUCAACCCAGAGACGGCUUCCAAAACUGCCGUGCUUGAGUGUGAGAGAGGCUCGUGGAAUUGCAGGUGUAGCGGUGAAAUGCGUAGAUAUCUGCAGGAACACCCGUGGCGAAAGCGGCGAGCUGGAUCACUACUGACGCUGAAGAACGAAAGCUAGGGGAGCAAACAGGAUUAGAUACCCUAGUAGUCC